GACGAACGCUGGCGGCGUGCCUAAUACAUGCAAGUAGAACGCUGACGCAGGAGCUUGCUUCUCUGGCUGAGUUGCGAACGCGUGAGUAACGCGUAGGCAACCUGCCUUGUAGCGGGGGAUAACUAUUGGAAACGAUAGCUAAUACCGCAUAAUAGUAGAUGUUGCAUGACAUUUACUUAAACGUUGCAAUUGCCUCACUACCAGAUGGCCAUGCGUUGUAUUAGCUAGUUGGUGGGGUAACGGCCCACCAAAGCGACGGUUCAUAGCCGGGCUGAGAGGGUGGUCGGCCACACUGGGACUGAGACAAGGCCCAGACUCCUACGGGAGGGAGCAGUAGGGGAACAUCGGAAAUGGGGGGAAGGCUGAACGCACAACGCCGGGGGGGGGAAGGAGGUUCUCGGGUCGGUAAGGUCUGUUUGAAGAGAAGAAAGAGUGGGAGAGUGGAAAGUUCACACUGUGACGGUAGCUAAACAGAAAGGGACGGCUAACUACGUG
RNAcentral lists this ribosomal RNA (495 nucleotides) under uncultured bacterium. Its description in RNAcentral is "partial 16S ribosomal RNA". It matches the Rfam family "Bacterial small subunit ribosomal RNA", at positions 28 to 507 of the family's 1533-position model. The record is from RNAcentral.